RNAcentral lists this ribosomal RNA (445 nucleotides) under uncultured Desulfocapsa sp. RNAcentral describes it as "bacterial SSU rRNA". It matches the Rfam family "Bacterial small subunit ribosomal RNA", at positions 946 to 1382 of the family's 1533-position model. The record is from RNAcentral. Lineage: Bacteria; Pseudomonadati; Thermodesulfobacteriota; Desulfobulbia; Desulfobulbales; Desulfocapsaceae.
AAGUUACGUACGCAACGACGCAGAACCUUACCUAGACUUGACAUCCCGGGAGUUUCUUGGAAACGAGAGAAGUGCUUAGUCAAUAAAGAACCCGGUCGACAGGUGCUGCAUGGCUGUCGUCAGCUCGUGUCGUGAGAUGUUGGGUUAAGUCCCGCAACGAGCGCAACCCUCGCCUUUAGUUGCCAGCAUUCAGUUGGGCACUCUAGAGGGACUGCCGGUGUCAAACCGGAGGAAGGUGGGGAUGACGUCAAGUCCUCAUGGCCUUUAUGACCAGGGCUACACACGUACUACAAUGGCCGGUACAAAGGGCAGCGACACAGCGAUGUGAAGCGAAUCCCGAAAAGCCGGUCUCAGUCCGGAUUGGAGUCUGCAACUCGACUCCAUGAAGUUGGAAUCGCUAGUAAUCGCGGAUCAGCACGCCGCGGUGAAUACGUUCCCGGGCCUU